CUGAGGUAAUAUGCUUUCAAAUGCUUCUUAAACAGAAACAAACUUUGAGCUCGUCUUAUGGCCACAGGUAAGUCGUUCCAUAGCAAAACAGCUUGCACAGCAAAGGAGUUAUAUAAUUUGUUAAU
Molecule: long non-coding RNA, 125 nt
Organism: Melitaea cinxia (Glanville fritillary)
Lineage: Eukaryota; Metazoa; Arthropoda; Insecta; Lepidoptera; Nymphalidae
Exons: 3
Source: RefSeq, a predicted model, not a curated record